ACACCGUGGGUGUGUUUCUACCUGACAGCCUCCAAAAACACGAGAAGGUUCCUGAUGUCGUAAACAGAUUCGGCGUCACGCAGGUUGAACGAGACGCUCGAGGGAGGUGCUUUCGCGUGGUGUUUGUGUUCCGCGACCGCCGGAGCGGAGCACGACCCCCAGGAACGCCUUGCCGCCCGUUGUGCUUCAAGUCGUAGAUAACGAGCGAACCGGGGGGGCGCCGGACGGCCUGCGCGAUCUGGGAGAGCGGAGGAGGCUCCGGAGCCGAGAGACGGCGGCGCGAUGGAGAGACGAGCCCGAACGGCCCGCGCUGAAAAGAGCCGGCAGACCGCGGGCAUGAAGUCUACAGCCCAUCGAGGUUCUCCAGACAUCCAGUCACCUUCUCCCUGCCUCCCACUCCACCGCCGCCCCAGAAUGCACCGGGAGGAUUCCUUCACCACCGAAUCAGUUCCAACGAUUUGGAAGCAGUCGGGCGGCUGUAUGUAUAUAGGACUGAGGGAGAACAAGCUGCUUAAGCAUCCUUAUCUUCAACUGGUGUCAACUUACAUUCUAUCAAACACUUCAGUUGAUUCAUAUCAGUCAGCAGCAGAUGUAUGUUGGUUAAAACUGUAUUUAUUUAUGAAGUCUCUGGGAGGAAUGCUUCUGCUGAUGUUAGGGUUUAGGAUCAGGGUUGGGUUGAGGGUUAGGGUUUAGGGUUAGGGUUAGGUGAACUUUAAGGCUGUUUCCGAAAUUUUUUGGAACAGAGAGCAGAAUAACCAUCCAGACAUGUCCACUUUUACGUUUCUAACAUAAAACUGUAUUAUUGAAGGUCCCUCAUCAUAUCUGCAAAAAACCGAGUGGCAUGCAUUGUGUUUCACGCUGCUCAACACAAAUCACCUCAACUGACAAAGUAAAACUUUCUCUAGUUGGACGUAUCAGACUGGUGGCAUGUUUGGCUGAGUGCUUUGUGUGCUCUCCAUCUUGCCUUAGAGUCUGCUGGGGGGCUCACACCUGCCAUGAAAUGAGAUUAUUGACCCCCCCCCCCCCCCCCCCCAAUGGGACACCACUGGACAAAAGAGAGGAUGAGGUGAGGUGG
Molecule: long non-coding RNA, 1075 nt
Filed under: Scleropages formosus (Asian bonytongue)
Lineage: Eukaryota; Metazoa; Chordata; Actinopteri; Osteoglossiformes; Osteoglossidae
Description: lncRNA (ENSSFOG00015028893.1)
Source: RNAcentral